AAACAACGCUGUUGGCAGGCCUACACAUGCACGUCGAUCGGACCUUUCGGGGUCAGCGGCGGACGGGUGAGUAACGCGUGGGAAUAUGCCCUUCUCUACGGAAUAGUCCUGGGAAACUGGGGGUAAUACCGUAUACGCCCUUUGGGGGAAAGAUUUAUCGGGGAAGGAUUAGCCCGCGUUGGAUUAGGUAGUUGGUGGGGUAAUGGCCUACCAAGCCGACGAUCCAUAGCUGGUUUGAGAGGAUGAUCAGCCACACUGGGAGAUANACACGGCCCAUACUCCUACGGGAGGCAGUAUUGGGGAAUCUUAGACGAUGGGGGCAACCCUGAUCUAGCCAUGCCGCGUGAGUGAUGACGGCCUUAGGGUUGUAAAGCUCUUUCAGCUGGGAAGAUAAUGACGGUACCAGCAGAAGAAGCCCCGGCUAAGUCCGUGCCACCAGCCGGGGUAAUACGGAGGGGGCUAGCGUGGUUCGGAAUUACUGGGCGUAAAGCGCACUUAGGCGGAUCGGAUACUUGGGGGUGAAAUCCCGGGGCUUCACCUGGGAACUGCCGUCAAAACUACUGGUCUUGAGUUCGAGAGAGGUGACUGCGAUUGCCAGUUUCGAGGUGAAAUUCGU
Molecule: ribosomal RNA, 616 nt
Filed under: Paracoccus sp. (in: a-proteobacteria)
Lineage: Bacteria; Pseudomonadati; Pseudomonadota; Alphaproteobacteria; Rhodobacterales; Paracoccaceae
Description: bacterial SSU rRNA
Rfam family: Bacterial small subunit ribosomal RNA
Source: RNAcentral